Molecule: ribosomal RNA, 423 nt
Filed under: uncultured bacterium
Lineage: Bacteria
Description: bacterial SSU rRNA
Rfam family: Bacterial small subunit ribosomal RNA
Source: RNAcentral
AAGACCUUGCGCUUUUGGAGCGGCCGAUGCCUGAUUAGCUAGUUGGUGAGGUAAUGGCUCACCAAGGCGUCGAUCAGUAGUUGGUCUGAGAGGACGACCAGCCACACUGGGACUGAGACACGGCCCAGACUCCUACGGGAGGCAGCAGUGGGGAAUUUUGGACAAUGGGCGCAAGCCUGAUCCAGCCAUGCCGCGUGAGUGAAGAAGGCCUUCGGGUUGUAAAGCUCUUUCAGUCGAGAAGAAAAGGUCACGGCUAAUAAUCGYGAUCCAUGACGGUAUCGACAGAAGAAGCACCGGCUAACUACGUGCCAGCAGCCGCGGUAAUACGUAGGGUGCGAGCGUUAAUCGGAAUUACUGGGCGUAAAGGGUGCGCAGGCGGCUUUGUAAGUCAGAUGUGAAAUCCCCGGGCUUAACCUGGGAACU